AGGGACAGAAUUGAAAGACAAAGAUCACGCAUUCAGAAUGGCCGAAUUCUCACUGGAUGAGAGAGAGAUGAGGAAAGGGAGGAGAGAGGGAUGUGGACAUGUGACGUUUCAUCGAGGCUGCGUGGCAAGUCAAGCUUGGUGAAUUGGAGCUGAAAUAACUUUGAGUAGCAUCAGAAGGAUGACGGGCAUCAUCGCUUUGGAAAACCUGCCUAUGGUUUACAUGCUGGACCUGUGAUGCUGCUGGUUGGUACAAGACAGCUACACAACAAGUGUGCUUCACACGUCAGAGGUGAAUAUGACUGCGGCUCACUGAGAAAUCACAUACUUCCUCCAAACACAAAACAUCCUGUUGCGCUGGAGAGCCGGUCCACCAACAAGGAAGACAAAGGAAAACACAAAGUACCAACUCAGCAUCAAUGAUGGGUACAGUCUUCCUGGGUCUUGGUCUGUUGUGGAGAUGGUCAGGACUGUUGGAUGGAUUCUGGACAUCAGAUGAAGCCAGCUUUGAACAGAAUCCUCUGGUGUGUACUUCCUCUCGGCACAGGAAAUGACCUCGCCGCGUGUCUGUGCUAGCCGCUAGGGUACAGUUUGGCCCGUUGGAGCCAAACCUUGAAACAUGCCAUGUAUGAUCCUGGGGUUGUAGGCUAUGAAGGAAAAACGAUUUUGAAGAUUCUAAGGGCAAUGAAAACAGCAUUAAUGUGAUGUUAGACAAACAAAGGAUGUUAGUCGUCUUCGCACCAGACAAACUCUUUAUUGGCAAGGCCUCCGUUGCUCGUGCAUGGGAUCCACAUUAUAUAGAGAGAAACAUCCAGAAAAGGUGUGUCUCUGAGACUUCUGCCAUUAAGUCAUACCGAAAAUUAGAGAAAGGUGGGUCUAAAAUAUGAUACUGAACUGAAAAAUAUAUCUUCUGCAGAACACAUUUAGAAGAUAAC
Molecule: long non-coding RNA, 932 nt
Organism: Triplophysa rosa
Lineage: Eukaryota; Metazoa; Chordata; Actinopteri; Cypriniformes; Nemacheilidae
Exons: 10
Source: RefSeq, a predicted model, not a curated record